GCAGAUUUCUGCUUUGGUGAAGGCAGUCUACUAGGUGGAGUAUAUCAACUUUUCACCUAAUGAAUUACCUACAUGUUGUUCCCUCAGUACACAUGUAACCUGCUAUUCUCACCUGAGUGAACCUGCAUUAAUUAGGUUUCUCGUGAUGCUGUGCGUCUGACGUCAUGACGCCUCCGCCUUCUCCAGAAUCUUCUACCUGCAGUUGAGCCGCCAAUUUCUGUCCGACAACGGAAGAAGGUAACAAAGAUACUGAAUCUUCUUUGAAGAUUAAUACAGAGUUCCAGAGGCUCAUGGCUGAUCUUCUUGAGGAGAAGUUUGUGGCCCAGUCAGACAUGCACUCAAUUCAGCCGAUCAAAGUCAUCCGUGCUAAAGGAGGAGCAACACGCCAAAAGACUGUGGACACUUUGGACCAGACUGGACAUUAAUCUUCGGAGGGCAUGUGUGCUUAAAGCCCUCACCAUCUUCCUGGGAGAAGAUGCAGAUGACCUGAUCAAGGAAUAUCUUGUAAGUUUCAACAGUUAUUUGCAUGUCAGCACCAGGUUUUCCGCUAGAAACAAUAGGCAGCAGACAACGUGACCGGCAGGUUUUCAAUGUACUAGGGGUGGUGAAAAAAA
This 614-nucleotide long non-coding RNA is filed under the name Sparus aurata (gilthead seabream). Its description in RNAcentral is "lncRNA (ENSSAUG00010004693.1)". The record is from RNAcentral. Lineage: Eukaryota; Metazoa; Chordata; Actinopteri; Spariformes; Sparidae.